RNAcentral lists this long non-coding RNA (265 nucleotides) under Nicotiana benthamiana. RNAcentral describes it as "long non-coding RNA (NBEN_LNC008570)". Lineage: Eukaryota; Viridiplantae; Streptophyta; Magnoliopsida; Solanales; Solanaceae. The record is from RNAcentral.
UCGUUAAUUUGAAGCUAAGAUGCCAAAAAUGGCUACAAAGUGAGUUCUCACGAGCGCAGCCCAGUUCUAAAGCUAACGGAUUGCCUAAAAAUGGUAAAAUAUUUUAUUUAUACUAAGCUAAAAAAAUUAGAUAAAAAUACCCAUGUGGGGUCAGUGUGGGCCGCACAAAAUGGACUGCGGCCGCACAAGGCUCUUUAAAUCUAAAAUUUAGCUCUCUGAAGUUAGGCUCUACCGACCGUGCAAAAUGGACUACGGCCGUAGAGGU